This 29216-nucleotide long non-coding RNA is filed under the name Triticum aestivum (bread wheat). Its description in RNAcentral is "long non-coding RNA (TAES_LNC019756)". The record is from RNAcentral. Lineage: Eukaryota; Viridiplantae; Streptophyta; Magnoliopsida; Poales; Poaceae.
UCAUGUUCUAUAUCUUGCACAACAUCAGGGAAGUUGAGGAAGUGUGGAUGAGGUAAUACCACUACACCAUUCCUUUAUGUCUUCCACAUCAUCAUGUUUUAUGUUCACUUAGUCCCGGUUUAACACCGGUUUUCUUUUUUUUUUAGUGAUUUCGUUCAAGAGGAAUGGACGGGAAUGAAUCCUCCUACUGAGGCGGAGGCACUUACUCUUCUCCGUCAUGGAAACCCUGGACGUAAAAAUUUUGUUGCUUGGUUCAUGGAGAAAGUAAUUGUCCACACUCCCCUAUUAAAUACCUAGUUCAACAUUUAUUAGUUAACUAAUGCACGCAACAAUUUCAAUUAUACUUGUAGGGAAAAGAUCCGAACAUAUCUAUGGAUGAUGAAUUGAGAUGGGUUUCCAUGGGUUUUGACCCUGCCGUCAUGACAUGUAAAAAGUAUGAUGUGAAUGGGUAUCGCUUCCAUACAGAGGAUCACCAGAACAGCCGGCCUGAUCCCAUAACUAUAAAUACCGGAGUGUACACCCCCGGUCAAAAUUCAGUAGACUACUACGGAAGGGUACAAAAUAUAUACGAGAUUAAAUUCCACCAGGGGCGCGAGACCCUAAGUCUGCCUGUGUUCAAAUGUCGAUGGUUCGAUCCACGGGAGGGGGUAAAACAUACGCCUUCCAUUGGUUUGGUCGAAGUUAAACCAUCAACCGUCUAUGCCGGAGCCGAUCUCUUCAUUGCGGCUACCCAAGCUACACAAGUAUAUUAUCUGCCUUACCCAUGCCAGAAAGAGUACCUAAAGGGUUGGGAAGUUGUGUUCAAGGUGUCGCCACAUGGUAAGCUACCGAACCCGAAUGAAGACGAUUACUACAACAUUAACCCCAUGACAUACGAGGGAGUGUUCUAUCAAGAGCAACCUGAUGAUGAUGAUGUGGUUAGAAACGAUGACGCUAGACCAUUGGGUGAUGAUGAUGUGGAUCCAAACGACGACGAAGCACGGAAUGAUGGUGAGACCAUUGUCAAUGAAAAUGACAUACUUAUGCUAGAAAAGUUAAACUUAGACGCUGACGACGAGGAAGAGCCUCCACCUCCGUCAGACAACGAAGAUGAUAUGAUUGAUAGUGAUGAUGAGACGGACCGAGAAAGAGGUUACAACAGUGAUGAUUCAUAUGGUUUCUAGCAGAUGUACGUGUCAAGUCUUUUUUCUAUAGUUUAGGAAUAUGCCUUUUAUGCCUUUUUAUUAAUGUGUUUAUUUUCAUGCCUUUUCCUUCAUUUCAUUAAUUUACUAAUUGCUUAUUCUCUUUUCAAUGCAGGUUCGUGGAACAUGAGCAAGGGGAAGGCCGACGGCGUGGGUUUCCUACGCAAGGUCGUUGGCCUGCCUAGUCGGAGUGGUCGAGCACGUAAUCCUCCCCCCCCGGCUACUUGACGAUGACUCCUCACAGGGAGGUCGAGGGAGAGGUGCCCCUAGAGGAGGAGGGGGCGGGGGGAGAGCCCCUAGAGGGCGAGGUGGGGGGAGAGCCACUACAGGGGGUCGCGGCCAGAAAGAGCGCACCCUCACCGACUUAGGGGUGUUGUCUUCGAGGCCAUCCUCUAGUGAGGUACCCUCCUCUAGUGAGGUACCCUCCUCUGGUGAGGAGGAGGAGGAGGAGGAGGAUGAGGCAGGCGAGGAGGAGGAGGUUCAGGAUGGGGCCGAGGAGNNNNNNNNNNNNNNNNNNNNNNNNNNNNNNNNNNNNNNNNNNNNNNNNNNNNNNNNNNNNNNNNNNNNNNNNNNNNNNNNNNNNNNNNNNNNNNNNNNNNNNNNNNNNNNNNNNNNNNNNNNNNNNNNNNNNNNNNNNNNNNNNNNNNNNNNNNNNNNNNNNNNNNNNNNNNNNNNNNNNNNNNNNNNNNNNNNNNNNNNNNNGAGGAGGAGGAGGAGGAUGAGGAGGAGGUUGGGGAGGGGAAGGCAGGCGAGGAGGAGGGUGGUGGCGGGGAUGAUGGUGCUGGCGGGGAGGGGGUUGACAACAAGGGGUGGCUACGUGGUAACGCAAAGCUACCAAAGCAGGUUCCUGCUACUGAGGAGCAAAAGUGGCUCAUUGAGCCCACGGGGAAAGAGUAAGUGCCACUUUAUAAUAAUUUCAUUAUUUUGCUUGUCACAUGCUCAUUCCGGUUGUUAUUUAUUUUGCUUGUCACAUGCUAAUAGUUCAUUUUUUUGCAGCAACUGGAUAUAUUCUAAAGGGGUCCGUAUUCCCAACGGCCUCAUCACCGUCCUGCUGAAGUUACACUGGCCGGGGUUGCACUGUCCGGAUCCAGUCAGGCACCCGGACCAUCGGGUCUUGGCCACGAGCUGGGAGCACUAGGAAGCGGCCCUCCACGCGAAGCAUGGGACCCAUGCCAAGGCCGUGAUCACCACUUUCUGGGUGAGUUCUCUUCAGAAGCACAAGUCCAUUCUAGUUUCAUGAAUGAUUUAACUCAUGGCUUCUUCCAUUCUUGUUUCGUGCAUGAUUGUAGAAAUUCUAUCGAGUUCUCCCGGAGCACAGGGGCAGAGCGGACCAGAUCGUGCUACGCCAAUGCAAGAAGAAGGCCCGCCAGAUGCAGUACGAGGUGCGCUAUGUGGCCAUCUCGACAUACUACCACGACUAUCUUGGUGUGAAGAUGACCAAGGAAGAAGCGCGGAGGAUGGGCAUUACCUUGGAGAGGGACGAGUUCUUGGCGGUAAGUAUAAAAGAUUUUUCAUUAUGCUUUCAUUACCUUGUGGUACAUUUCACCGUUUCGUGUUGAUAUGCCAUUAUGCUUUUAUUAUGUAGGUGUGUCCAAAUUGGUGUUAUGGAAAAGACGAGUCCUGGGCGGCAUUGGUGGAUCUUUGGUGUGAUGCGGCUGGAGCCUGGGCGGCUAUGAGAGUCAAAAACAAGGCUAACCGAGGGAAGGAGGGAGUACAUGCUCAGGGAAACCGAAACCACUAUCUCCACAAGGCAGUUAAUGUAUGACUAGCUAACCCCAUUAAACAUUCUUCUUCUUCUAUUUACCAUCACUUUCUUAUGUAUGACUAACCUCUGUUUGGUGGUGCAGGAGGAGAAACUGAAGCGGCCUCUCUCACACAUGCAGGCGUGGGAGAUCGCCCAUACGCGGAAGGACCCCAAGCCUGGCGAGCCCAAGUACUACGGCAAGAAGACCGCGGGGAGGAAGAAGGCCUACUCCGAAGGGUAUCUGGCGUUACAUCCUGACACACCUGACCCCAUUGCGGCGGAUCUGGACGAAAGGGUGGUGGUGGGCAUGGGGCCGAAGGAGCACGGUCGGGAGGCGGUUCUCGAUGCUAUGAUCACUCCGUCUAUCUCCUACACACAGCUCCGUCGGAUCGACCCGACCCUGAGCCAGCGCACGAGCACGCGCAUGAGCAGUGCACCGUCACUGUCCCUCUUUCAGGAGCAGCAAACUGUAAGUAUUUUCCCUUUUAUCUUCAUUGUUCCCUUUAUUUUCCGCAUUUAGUAGUUUUAUGAGUCUCAUCAUGUCAUAUUGUAGGCCUACAUGGAGUACACACGCCAGGAGACCACGGCGUGGCACGACCGCCUUCAUGCAUACCAUCAGCAGAGGGAUCGCGAGAUGCAGCACGCUUUUCAGGAAAUGGCGGCCGGCAGGUGUCCUCAAUGGCCAUCAGCAGAGGGUCCUCCAGCACAACCAGUGCUGCUGACCUUUGAGGAGUUUGUGGCACAGAACGCUGGCCCCUCGCCGGUUAGUUCAUCCCCAAUCAAUUCACCCAAAGCAUGUCAUGCCUUUCAACACAGUCUUAUAUCCCGUUCAUAUAUCUUUUCAACAUCUAGGGAACAGGUGCAUCUACCGUUGGCGGUGGUCUUCGCAACACUCCCGAGACACGGAGCCCGACCACUCCGAUCCACGGAGACGGAGGCGGAGGCGGACGUGGAGGCGGUCUUGGCGGUAGCGCUGCCGCUAGCAGUGACGACCUGGGCUUCGGCGGUCUUGGCGGUGACGACCUCCGCGGUGCUCGACGUCCUGGCGCUUAAGCCUUUCUCGAUGCUAUGAUACUUGUAUGCUUGUUCUCGAUGCUAUGAUACUUGUAUGCUUGUGAUGAUACUUAUCUUAUUGUUGUUUGUGAGAUUCUUAUAUGCUUUGUGGUGAUGAUACUUAUAUGUGUGAUGCUUUGCGAUGCUUCUUAGCGAUGCCAAUUUGUUGUGUGAUGCUGUGUAUAUGCUGUUUGUUAUAUAUGUUGUUUGUUAUAUAUUCAAAUGAAUUGAGCUGAAAAGAAACAGAAAAAAGAAAAAAAAACUGGACAGAAUCUAUGCCGACGGCCAGGCCGUCGGCAUAGGCCUGGCGUGAGCUCCCAGUGGCCGACACGUGGCAGGUCUAUGCCGACGGCCUAGCCGUCGACUUAGUUUGGCCGUCGGCAUAGGCCUGGCGUGAGCUCCCAGUGGCCGACACGUGGCACGUCUAUGCCGACGGCCUAGCCGUCGGCUUAGUUUGAAAUUAUGCCAAAGGCUAGGCCAUCGGCAUAGACCUGCCCCAGGAGCGCCCAGUUUCUGACACNNNNNNNNNNNNNNNNNNNNNNNNNNNNNNNNNNNNNNNNNNNNNNNNNNNNNNNNNNNNNNNNNNNNNNNNNNNNNNNNNNNNNNNNNNNNNNNNNNNNNNNNNNNNNNNNNNNNNNNNNNNNNNNNNNNNNNNNNNNNNNNNNNNNNNNNNNNNNNNNNNNNNNNNNNNNNNNNNNNNNNNNNNNNNNNNNNNNNNNNNNNNNNNNNNNNNNNNNNNNNNNNNNNNNNNNNNNNNNNNNNNNNNNNNNNNNNNNNNNNNNNNNNNNNNNNNNNNNNNNNNNNNNNNNNNNNNNNNNNNNNNNNNNNNNNNNNNNNNNNNNNNNNNNNNNNNNNNNNNNNNNNNNNNNNNNNNNNNNNNNNNNNNNNNNNNNUAGCCGUCGGCAUAAUUUCAAACUAAGCCGACGGCUAGGCCGUCGGCAUAGACACGCCCAUGCUGAAUGGCGUCUCGCCACGUGGCGAGAAGCCAUUGGGCAGCACUUGACGGCGGCCGCCGUUAGGCGAUGACGUUGCUGACGGCUAGGGCCGUCGGCAUAGAUGUACGGCCACCGUCGGCAUAGGGUCUAUGCCGAUGGCUUUUCUAUGCCGACGGUCAUCCUGGCUACGCCGACGGAUAUUUUGCCGACGGCCCUAUGCCGACGGGGGCCGUCGGCAUAGGCCUGACCCGACGGCUAGUCAUGGCUAUGCCGACGGCCCUGGCCGUCGACAUAGGGUGCGAUUCCGGUAGUGCUCCAUGGACGGCGGCAAGACGCCACCUCUGCUGCUUGCGGUUGCGGCCCAGCUGGCCAAGAAGGCGAUAGCCGCUUCUCCGUUCUCGGAUGCACACCGGCUGGCCAGCGCUUGGGCGUUCCUCACCGCCUGGUUCUUCCCCGUCUCCAUCGCCUUGGGCUACCUCGUCCCCAGUCGAUCGACCAUGCGCCAACUUCGUCUUCGUCUUCCUGCAGCUGCAGUGGUGCCAUUUUCUGGAGCGCGAGUGGGACCGGCCCAUAGACAGCGUCCUCUGGGUCGGCCUGUGGUGCUGCCCCGCACUCCAGGCGGCCGUGGCGGCGCUCGCUCUGCUGCUCCCGUUCCGCCACCGCCGGAUCCGCCGUGCCCUUGCCUACCUCGCGGUCUCGGUCGCCAUCGUCGGCCAUUCUUUGAUGGCCAGCCUCGUCCCCCUCGCUGUCGCUGCCUACCCAGGGCUAGGGCUAGGAUACCUCCUGCUCAUCGUCUUGUUCGUCUGCGCCGCGGCGGCGCUGGCACAGCUGCUCCCGUGCCUCCCCCUCCGGAUCCGCUCCCGUGCCUCCCCCUCCGGAUCCGCCGUGCCCUCGCCUACCUCGCGGUCGCCAUCGUCGGCCUCUGUAUUUUGGCCAGCUUGGCCCUCGCCGCCGACACACCAUUCCUCAUCGUCUUGAUCGUCUACUCGGCGGGCAUGUUCACCCUCGCGGUGGGCGACCUCCUCAGCUUCCUGGCCCUCCUCCUGGGAGGUGAGGAGGAGUAGCUGCUGAUCGGCCAGUCGCAAGCUCCGUAUAUCUCCAUGGAUCAGCUCAUGAGGUACUCACGUACGUGACCGCUGAUGAGUAGUUGUGAGGACUGAGGUACUAAUUUGCUGGGGUCUAACCCUAGCUAGCUCGAACUAGUUUUCAGAGACGGAGGUAGACGAAGCAAGGAACGGAGAUAGAUUGUUUUUCUGGCAACAAACCACGGCGCCGAACGCCCUUUUUCUCUGUUAUAUAUAUAGCUGGCCAAACCAGAUCGUAUCUGGACUCCUAACCAUCUACGCAUAACAACCUGGACUAACAAACCAAAUCACGGCCGGCUUUGUAGCACACGGGACGCAGCGCCCAAGCUUCCUUUCGUACGCACGCACGUACGAGCGCCCAGGGACACUGCUCGCCUACGCCGUCCUCUACUACGCGUUCUGACGCGUCCAGCCGCGACUGCUGCUAACUGACUACGACUCGAUCAUGAGCACAGACUCGACACGCACCCAACGCACGCACACACGCACGCUCGCCACGGCUUCAGGCAUGACCAGCACGCACGCACACACUGGUCACCACCACCGCCGUGUCUUAUUCCUAACAUAAUUAAUAUUGUAGUAUUGGACCUUAAUUUGAUGCCUAAUUAGCCUGUUAUUUGUGUAAUGCUGAACUAUCCUGAAUUGUGCUCGUCUGAUCGAAAUAUGGUAUUAAUUGAGAGUAGUAUUGACGAACAAGCUAUAUAUGGGGUCUUAAUUUGAUGUAGUAUUGGACCUUUUCCCUGUAUGCAUGCCUAGCUUCAGUAUAAUCGAUGUUGGUGAAAUCGUUACCGCAGUUUAUAUGUAUGCAUGUAUGCAACCAUUCAUGUUGUAUUUGCUGUUGAGCAUUUCAUUAUGGCCACCAUUCAUGCCUAGCUUGGUGUAUCGAUGUCCAUCGGGGGAUGAGUUGAGGUCCUCCUUAAUUUUGUUGUCUCGUUCAUUCGGAAGCCAAAAUCGCCAUCAUCUGCUUAUGGUCAACGGACCCACGCGCUGGGCACUUGUAUGAGCGCUCGAGCAAGCUGCUCCCAUGCCCUGUUUUUGUAGGGAAAGACCUUCGUAUGGCUAGCUUUAUCAACUUCAAAUUAUAGUUACAUCAUCCACUAAAAAAAUCUGACUAUGGGGCUAUUCUAUUGCAUCCCAAUUUCCGGGCUAGGAGCUGCAAGCAUUCUCGGAGAGCUGCAACCUCUGCUGAGUCGACAUGAGCAACCUGCUCGAGUCUUGCCAUCGAUGCACCUAACAAAUCACCUCUAUGAUCUCUAACAAUAGCUCCACAACCACCUGAAAAAAGUGCAUCCCAAAAAGCUGCAUCGACAUUCAGAAUUUGGUGAUCAGGGCCGGGGGUGGCUUCUUCCACUUGUUCAGAUGUGGGAUGGGCUUCAUGUUUAGCAGCUCUCAUUCUUAUUCUCCACCGAUGACCGUUGAACACCAACGCUUCAGUUGGUUGCCUUGGUUGAUGUUGGUUAGCCGACUUGUUUGACACAACUAUUGCGUAUCUAAUUCUGAACUGCAUUUCAUAUUCAGUAACUGAUCGAUGAGCAUACAGAAAGGUACUGUGAUUAAACUGAUGCUCUGCGUUUGUGGGCCUUCGGCCACUGAUAAGUUGCCACAUCUGCCGUUGGCUUCAUCUGGACCGUUCAAAAGACCCAAAAAACUGAACAGAGGCAGUAAAGGUCCGUGUGCCAGGCGUGGAUAGCUACAAAUGUUCAAGUAGAAGUGCGGAGAGCUUAGUUGACUUAAGAGUAAAUUUUCAGAUAACAAAACCUGUUCUGUUCGUUCCGGAAUGUCUCGGGGGACUUUCACAAUGUUGAUGCAUGUACAGUUUGUCAUUCCAGGUUACCAGUCCUCCCUAGCUAGUUCAGUCAGAUGAACUAAAAUUUCGGCAGUGAUGUAGCUUUUGAAAUUUUAGUUCAACUGGUUGAACUAAAAAAAGGGUCAGAUGGAAUUUGCAGACCCCCCACAGUUUGCCACUACUUACCAUGAAAGCGUGUCAAUCGAUCUUCAUACCGACUUUCAGAAACUAAUUAACUGGAAACACAUCUUCAUGUCGACAGCCUACUUAUAGCCUUGUACUUCAGAACACAUCUCUUGCCUUCUUGCAGUGUCCUCUCUUGCCUUCUUGCAGUGUCCUGCAGAUCGACUGCCUUGUAUGUACUCCUUCUGAAGGAACUUCCUACCAAAUCAAGGUCCAAAUGCACAAGUGUUGUAUGCAACAACAUAUUUUCAUUACCAAGGCACAAAAACAAUGUACGAUAAGGUAAAACAAAAUAGGCAUUCGAGUUCGAUGCACGCCAGGAAAACCCACUAGUUGUACUACCACUUGUAAUAAUAAUACGACCUAUGGGACGAAAAACCUGGCGCGACAUCGAUCGUUCAACCUAAGUUCAGAAAAUACAGAGCAUGCAGUGAUCUAUGUUACAGUAUUUUACAUCCCAGGGAGUAGCAACAAACGAGAGGAGACACGUCUCAGCAGCGCUAGAACUGACACUGUCGUCACGUUGAAGGCGGCAGACGCUGAGAUGGCCCUGCCUCGUCUUCCGAUGUCUGGUUUUGCCUCCGAGCUAGCAUUCGUCCUAUGCUCACUAUAGCUAGAGGUAGACCAUUGCACCUUGCCAAUAUGUCCUUUGAGACAUUCAGCAGGUCGGCCGGACAUUUCCCUGACUCAAACACUGUCUUGAAGAAUAGCUUCUCUGAGUCACCCUCCUGUAACCGCUUCAUUUCAUAGACAGGAUCAUUGGGAGAGGUGCAGCAAUUCUUGGCUACCUCAUGACUGCGUGUAGUAAUUAUUAUGCUGCCCUUAUUAUUAUCACGAGGAAUAGCUACAUUUAGCUGAUCCCAUGCAGCUGCUCGCCAGACGUCAUCCAGAACGAUCAAGUACCUAAAAAAAUGACACACGUUCUUAUGAGUAGGCUAGUAACAAAAAUCGAACAGGGACAGGUAAUCCAUGUUAGGACAUGCAAGUGGGAGUUGUGUACUGGCUUGUUACUUGUGACUUGAUUUCAUGCAGUCAUGCCUAUAGUAAUAAAUUUGGUCCAAAACUGAGGUUGUAAUCACCAUAACAUACCUAUCAAUCCAUCAUACAUUACAAAUUCUCGAUAAAGAAAAUCAUCUAACUCUAAUUCAAUAAACUUCUGUUAUUGUUAAACCUUAACCAUAAAGAUCUUCAUCAUCUUUUUUUUAAAGCAAUAAGAUCUUCACCAUCUAGCAAAAGUGAAAGCACAAAAAAGAAAGUUAUCUGCCCUUAUAGGAGNNNNNNNNNNNNNNNNNNNNNNNNNNNNNNNNNNNNNNNNNNNNNNNNNNNNNNNNNNNNNNNNNNNNNNNNNNNNNNNNNNNNNNNNNNNNNNNNNNNNNNNNNNNNNNNNNNNNNNNNNNNNNNNNNNNNNNNNNNNNNNNNNNNNNNNNNNNNNNNNNNNNNNNNNNNNNNNNNNNNNNNNNNNNNNNNNNNNNNNNNNNNNNNNNNNNNNNNNNNNNNNNNNNNNNNNCAGGGAGGGGUUAAUAUGAAAUCAUAGAGAACAUUAGUCCGUGUACCACGUCCGUAACUUAGUUUCCGCUAGUCUAACAUUCCAGGGGAGAGAGACAGGAAAUGGGGUCCUUUUCUCGUUCACUUGACAGUAGGGCUGGCAGAAAACAUCUCGGAGGUGCAAAUAUGUAAAUAAUGCUAAUGAGCUUCAACUUCUGCGAACAGAAAUGAAUUUAUAGGUUCUCAUAAUCGGCAAUGCAGAUAGGUAGAAAAUUGUAAAUCUCCCCCUUUAUACAUAAACUUGGCCAAAUUUGAAGAAGUAUCACUUGAAGAAAAAACUACAAGAGCAACUAGCAGAUUUCCCACACCCUCUCCCUUUAAAGAAGUGCCAAUGUAGAGGCCGAGAGUCCAAAAAUGCUGUCCAAAAACAACCAUUGUGACGCCACUAAAGUUUCAACUCUGAAGUGCUUCUCUUAAAUUCCCUAAUUGGUAUUUUGAUAAUUUGACACACCCAUUGAGGGACUAAUGUUUAUAUUGAGUUUAUUUCAGAUUUAGUCCCUUGGCUAUAACUCGAACAUCAAUGGUCACCUGUUGCCAAUCUCAAGCUUUUAGAAUGUACUUAAAAUGUUUUUGGUGAAUCCAAGAUUCAAACUGAGUGCAGGACAACCGUACUAUGAAGAGGGCCACAAGCAAAGAUACUUUGGUAUGGAACUUCAUGAAAUAUCCUAAACCCAAAAUCCACAAAAAAAUCACUCUACCAACCUCAUUCUUCAGUAUCUCUAAACCCCGGUACAUUCAAAGAUUUUUCCUCAAGUACUAACAAGCACUUAGGGUGGUUGUCUUCGUAGAGUUCAAACCCAGCUUCUCAUUGCGGACGGCCGCACAUUUUUGUUCAGGUGCUACCGAGCCUAUCUGUUUGAGACAUCCCUUUGUUAGCUCUGGUACCUCCAAGCAAAACAUUUUACCCGGCAGUUCCAAGCCCUUCUCAGUUUGCUCCUUUAUUUGAUCCUGAUAUAGGUCCUGAUACCAACGUGGUUUUCCGUCCGGUACUUUUGAGCUGUGACUUAGGCCUUUUCCGCACAUUUCCCAUUUGAGAGUUGCUCUGUCUACUACGGCACUUCCAAACAAUUGAAUUUACCAUUACUUCCGAGCCAGUUCAAAUCUCGCAGAAAGGAAUAACAGUUGCUGUUCGGAACCACCACUCUAGUUUUACCCUUUCUUGGCUGCAAGAACUCAGCAUUCCUUUCAUCCACCCCAUCCAUUUGCGAGCCACGCAAGUCAUUCCAAUCUCCACCUUAACAAGGAAGAGAGAUCCAAGACAAAGAAAGAAGAACCAUGAACACUAAAAGAUUCUUGAAGGCCAAGAACUCCUCCCUUUCAUGAACCCCCACACCUCAAGUUCAUCUCUUUCACCACAACUCUAUCUUUACGAGAGAAUGAUCCUAUGCGUUCUUGAGAGAUGUUUAGAUUGGAGAUCAUUUGAGGAGUUUCUAUCAAGUGAACGGCAAUGGGUAGGGUAUAGGUGGGUACAACCACCUUCUGUCUAAACCCAUAACCACAGACUUUCUAUACCCAUCCACUUCAAUACCCAUGGACGUAAAUCGACACCCAUGCCCAUACCCUUCGGGUAUCCUAUACCCGAUGGGUAUCCAAUGGUUACAAUAUGUAGCAUUUACAUUUUGAAAAAGUAGAGAAAUGAGUCUAAAAUUCAAAUGAUAUGAUGGGCGAGCAGUCUAGCACCUAGUCGGCCUCCUCCCAUGGGUGGCCUAUUGGAGGCAGCAAGGGAGUACAAGUAGCAGUUGGUGGAAGCCCAAUGCAAUGGGAAGCGGCGGCAGGAACUGGGCUCGCUAGAUCGAGAGCUGGACAAGAGUCCGAUGGCUAUGAGUCGAGUUUCAUCAUUUCAAGGAGUCGCAUAGGACGAUGGAGGAGUGGCGAGCUGAUGGGCGUGGGCCUAUGAGUUAUUGCUGAGUUAGCGAAUAAGAGAUUUAGGGUUGGGCCAUAGGAGUUGGAUGUUGACUCCACAAGUCACAGGAGUUAUUUGCAUUUAAUAAUUUUUCUAGGUAUCCAUUGGGUUACCCAUGGGGGCAAUUUCAUACCCAUGCCCUAUCCAUAUUUUUGCGGGUAUGGAUACCCAUUACCCAUGGAUAUAAAAUCUUGUCAAGUCUCAUGCCCACUGUUUUCGGGUAGGGUACCCACGGGUACCCAUACCCAUGGGCAAAACGGCCAUCCCUAAGUGACUUUGCUUUGUUUGUUAGCUUUGGAGGGUGUGCGCCCCCUAGAUGGUUAGGAUUCACUUGAGAGCCUUCGCCUACUACGUGUGGCGAACUUAAGAUUUUGUGAAGCCAAGAAGAUCACCUACUUCGCGAAGAUCUACCCCUUACCGAGGCUUCUUUGUGCAAGCCAUGUUGGAAUAGGUUGAUUGCACUUGGUGGGUGACACAACUGAGAUCCUUGUGAUCUUACAAUCAUUUGGUUCAAGCCUCCAUAAACAUGGAGUAGGAUCGCGCCAACUACCAAAACCACAGGAAAAACAUCAUCAAGAUCCAAUUUUGCACAAUGGUGAAUCUGACUUUGCACAAUGGUGCGGGAACCUCCAAAUAAUUUGGAGUGCGCUCCAAAACUGAGUUGGAGGCCCAAGAUUUCGGUAAUCUGCUAGAGUUGCUUUAGGGUGUGUACAAUGCUGCUAUCUUAGCAACGUCGCCUAAGAUAACUGGUGGCGGGGAAGAGAGAAAUGAAAAAAAAAACACUUGACGUAUGUUAACUAAGAGAUGAUCUCUUAGCAAGAACGAUAAAACAUUUGCCUCCCUUAUACGAGAUGCCUUCUCUUAUUAACAUGUUUUUCAAGUUUUAAUUUUAUUCACUCCAUAAGGAUCUCGUAACAUUAAAUGCUAGAAAUAAGGUAUUGUAUAACAUAUUUAUUGCAUUCUCUCAAUGGCGUGGAUACGUAAAAAGAUAGUCUUAUCAACCACUAUAUACAUGCCUAACAUUUUUAUAUUCUCUCUGUUUCUUUUUACUCCACAUAUUAGGAUUGUCUUAAAUAAAACUUUGUAAAGUUUGACCCAAAUUAUAUUUUAAAAUAUCAAUAUCUGCAGUAGCAAAUGAAUACAAUAUGAAAAUAUAUUCCAUGAUGGAUCUAAAUGAUAUUGACUUAGUAUUGUGAAUGUUGGUAUCUCUUUCUAUAAACUUGGUACAAACCUAAUAUGCAGAGUAAAAAGAGAUGGAGGGAGUAUUUUUUUUAAACAGAGGGAGUAUGGCAUAAGAGGAAACAAAUUAAAAAAGAUAAUAGUAACAAAAAGUGCUUCAUUGAUGUAUGAGCAAUCAGCAACUCAAGACUCAAUGGUCAAUAAUGCAGUAGUGUAUCAUUACAUACCUCUUGCCAUCCAACUGUUUUUUAAUAUUGUCAGAUAACUGUCUUUUGUUCCAGUCUUUAAUGUUCUUGAGGGGAUCAUCAUUUUUAUCUUUUUCAGCUGAGGCCGAAAGCUGCUUGAGCAUGGACUCAAGAAGAGAACGGACGUCGUAUGUCUGGGACACCGGAACAAAAGCGCGGCACUGGAUGCCGCCCAACUUUGGAGUGUUGUAGACAGUCGUCGCGAGGGUGGUCUUGCCAAGGCCACCGAACCCCACUAUGGACAGCACUCGGUGACCUGCCGCCGCCUGGCGUUGCUCAUUGUUGAGCAGCUCGACCACGGCAUCAGUCAUGUUGCCCAUCCCGACUAGUCCGGACCCGUCACCACGGAUUGCAGGCAGCCAGCGCUCCAGGUUGUCGGGGUGGCUGUACGGAGAAUCAAGCCCUUUCCUCGACCGUCCAGCCUCGUGUAGAGUGUAUGUGUACCUUUGCUUCCGGUCGCUCACUUUCUGGGCACGAGAUUUGAGGCCCUGGAUAUCGGUCGCCACCUUGUGCCGCACGCUUAAUGUCCGCACCAUGUUGAACAUCCUGUUCAGAUAUUCCAGGAGUCCUUGACGGUCUCCAUGGUGCUUGCUGAGGUGAUGGCAGAACCUGUCCAUACAGUCCUCCACAUCGAACGCGACCUCCCUCACUUGUUUCAUCCAAGUCCUAGUCUGCACGUAUAUGAAUGAGCACAUCAGUUCAUCAUGCCAGGAUUUGUCUCAUCGCAUUAUAAGAGGCAUGUUUUCCUUGCUAUCAAAAAGUUGCAAUUAAAAAGUCCAUCUACUAGCAUUUGCAUUACUUGUUCAUUGUGAUCAUCACUAUCCGCGAGGUCGCGGAGGCACGCCGUCAUGCUCUCAAGCUCAUCUUUGAGCUCCUGGAUCUCCCCACGAACGCCGCCGAGAGGCACAUAUUUGGUGGCAAGGACGUGCCGAGCUUCCCCAACAGGAUCUGCACGGCGCCCUGGGAGGCGCUCACCACGGCCUCCAUCACCUUGCCCGUCCUGCCAUGUUAACUUCCGUUGGCAUCGCUUAGUACAAAAACACUAAACCACACCAGCCACAACCAUAACUUGAUUUCUUGUAAGUUUGUACGGCAUUACCCUUGGUUUGAGCGGUCUGGACCUGUUCCAUGUAUUCGGCGUUUACAUCUUUCAAAAGUCAACUCUGUUUACCAAGGACGAGCAGGUGAAUUGGUUAUGGCACACCCACUCGAAGGCCACCAGCUCCUGGAUGCCCACAGCCGACUAGCCCAUCGCUAAGAGAGGUGAAAAUUAGAGUUCUUACCAUCAGUGAACCAUGCUAUUGGACUCUGAGACAACCAAACUAGCUCAAAAGAUUUACCUGCUACGAUGCGAGAUAAAUAAGAACUGUAGUUGGCUCGGUCGAUCUGCGGGACAGGAGAGCGGCGCACCAAAGAUCGUGAUCCCCCGGCCAACAACGCACCCAAGAUUUCCGCAACAAAACGCAAGCUGGCUCGAUCUUAAGUCUGGAACAACAACAAUAGAUCAAGAACUCACUCAGACCAUAAAAGCACGAACUUCCAAUUCAAAAGCUUAACCCAAGGGAGAGACGAGAAAAGGCCAAACCUUGACAGAAAUCGACAACCACUUCUUGUUCAGCCGCGAUGAAGAAUGGAGUCGCCGGAGAUAGCACACCAAGAAAAGGGAACAAGACUAGCUGGUCCAGAUGGACAGAGGACAACCAAGUAAGGCUGAGCAGUGUGGUUAGGAGGACAAGGGGUGAGGCAAGUUGUGUCUAUUUUAUGGUUGAUGAGUUGGCUACAUUUUUAACAGAGAAAGCAACACCUACCGGUAGCACUGCACUAGUAGUAUAUAAUAUAAUGCUGCACUGAAGGAUUGGUCAUUUGUUCUCUUGUAAGGUAGCUGGCCUCAAAAUUGUUUCUUCACAGUAGGUGCUCACUUAUUUUUCAUGGAUGGUGCGUCCUUCCAUAUCUGUCGCGUUUUAUGGGUGGUUAGUGACUUAAAAUAACACUCUCUUGGGUUGAUCUGCAGAUGCUGAACCAAUCAGCAGAGAUAAACUAAUCACCCAGUUCAGCACUGAUGAUUGUUUCUUAUAGGAGUGAGAUGUUAAGCUGAAAAUGGAGAUACCGAUAGUUGAACAGUCUGUUGGUAAAUAAGAUUUACCUGCUGUGAUGCCAGGUGAAUAAGAACUGUAGUUGGCGCGGUCGAUCUGCAGGUAAAUAAGACUUCCACAAUCAAAUGCAAGCUGGCUGGAUCUCAAGUCUGGAACAACAAUAAUAGAUUAAGAACUCAGUCAGACCAAUGGCUGUGAUGCACAUACAGCAAUGCAGACUGCAUAUUGGCUUAAAAGUAAAUUCCAGAUAACCAAUCCUAGUAUGUUUGUUCCAGAGUGUCUCAGGGAUAUGUCUACAGUUUGCCACUCCUUAUGGCGGAAGCGUGUCGACAGAUCUUCAUACUGACUGAUAUCAGCCUAUCGAUUCAUCAUAGUCCUGUACCUGAAAACACAUCUCUUGCCUUGUUGCUGUCCCCUGCAGUCCACAACUGCUUUGUAUGUGCUCCUUCUGAAGAAACUUCCUGCCAAAUCAAGGUCAAAUUGCACAAGUGGUAGUGCUAAAGCGCCUCCACUAUUCUUCUACCUGUGUCUUGACAAUUUUGCUGAAAGCAGUGGGGAUCCCCCCAGAACAAAUUAUCUUAUUGCUUGUUUACGCAACAGCACCAGCGCUUAACUAGGUCUUUUAGGUUCACACCACAAGCUAGAUUCAUUCACCAAAAUUCUGCAUAUAACUGGACUGGAGGAGACCUUUUUGUUUAACUAGGCAACAAUCAAAUUUCAUUACCAAGACAAUGUAUAAAGUAAAAACAAAAUAGGCAUUCGAGUUUGAUGCACGCCAGGAAAACCCACUAGUUGUACUACCACUUGUAAUAAUACAACCUAUGGGACAAAAAACCUGGCGCAACAAUCGACCGUUCAACCUAAGUUCAGGAAAUACAGAGGACGCAGUUAUACAAAUUACAGUAUAUAAGCCAGAGGACACUUAGAAGGCAGCAGACGCCAAGCUGGCGCUGCCUCGUCAUCUUCUUCACGCCGAAGUGCAGGCCUAUCCACCUGCUGGUUGGUUGACUGCUGCUCACUGUACCCCACCCCUGCAUAAUUGACACAUAAUGGGUAAAAUGUUUGGGGUCAGAAGAAGGUUGUUGUUAUAAACAAAGUAUAGGGCCGGAAGAAGAAAGAACCAAAUGCAAACCUGAACUUGCUUGUGCAGCUUCCGUAGAAGGUUGAUCGUCCCUGGUGACUUUCGGACGAUUUGGAUGUAUUUUGGCCGCCUCAAACACCUCAUUAAAUGUAGAAUCUAUAAUGUGACCGAAGAACUCAACUUCUCUUAGGCACAGCAGGUUCUCAAUGCCGUUAAUGCCUCCACGAGGCACCCUACUGAAAGCCAAUGUGAGCCUCUCAAGAUUGGGUGAACCCCCAUGGAAGCUCAGCUCCUGGAGAUACUCCUGAUUAUCCACAACCAAUUGCUUCAGUCGGGGAAAACUGUCCUCUUCAAAACAUAAGGCACUCCCAGCAUAUCCCCUGAAGUAUAGCUUGAGAGAAACAAGACUGGGGAGCUUCCCUAGAACCUCAAAGGAAUCCUCCGCCAAGUGGUGAGUCUCUCGAAGCGACAGACUGGCCAAGUUGUUGAGCGAUGAUACCCAGUCAGGCAGCUUAGUUAGCCGUCCCCCCAAAUGCAGCCUCUGCAGAAACAGAGGGGGGGCCUUUAGGCGUACUAAAAAUUCCAGCUCCUCGCCUUUCUCUGAACCAUCCAGGACCAUUAGAUAACGAAGAGAGGUGCUAAGCACAUUCAAAGACUUGGCAAAGGGUUUCCAAAACUUUGCUUCAUUCUUGUUGAUUACACAAAGUCUGGUUAACUGCCGCAAUUUUUCCAGUUCAUGCAUUGCACAGGAGCUUUUCUGUGUAGAGAUGUCUACAUGAGAGAUUCUCUGGAGGGCAACCAUAUUCCCUAAUCCAAGUGGUACCUUCGCUCCACGUUUCCCCCCAAAACGCUUGACACUUCGUGUCCUUGUGUAAUAUGCAUAACGGCCUACAAGUAGAUGAUUCAGAUUCUGGAGCCGAGUGAUACCUUUGGGAAACUCGACGACAGGAGUUUCCCUUACAUCCAGUGUCACCAAUUCUUUAAGUUUCCCUACUGCAUUUGGUAGUUGGGAUAUGGUUGUCUUUCUAAGGCUGAGGUAUCUCAGCAGAGACAGUUUGCAAAUGUCCUUGAGAUCCUUAUCGCUUAACCAUCCACAUCCUUCAAGAUCUAAAACCCUUAAAAGUGUCAACUCAGCAAAUUUGAUGGGUACAGGUUUCUCAAUGCAGUCCAGAAUUGUCAGUGAACGGGUAUGGACUAUGUUCUUACUGGAAAAGGUUAUCUGCUCCUUGGCGACACCAGGAUGGAUGGAGAGCCUUCGUACCUUGUCAUGGCCUGCUGUUGUGUUGUAUUGACUGCUCCCUAGGAACGAGAUGAAAUUUUCCUUGACAGAUUUAGCGGUGAUAACUUCUAGCAUUAUGUCGUGGACUUUACAACUCUUAAUCUUGCCACUACAGCCAAUCUGUUCAGGGCUGACGAUGUUUCUACUGACAAACUCAUCCAAAUAAUUCUGAGCAAUCUCUUCCAAACUGUGACCAUACCUUCCAGAGAUUAAGCCUUCGGCUGCCCACCGUCUAAUCAGAGAGCCUCUUCUGACCUCAAAAUCCUCAGGGAAAGCACACAGGUAUAAGAAACAUGCUUUCAGAUGGUAUGGCAGAUCAUUGUAGCUCAGAGCAAGUAUCCGUCUCAUUCCCUCUAAAGUGGGGUUUAUCUCCAGUUCAGAACCCAGCCUAUCACAUACUGUUUGCCACUCUGCCGAUGUCUUGUUUUGCCUCCGAGCUAGCAUUCGUGCUAUGCUCACUAUAGCUAGAGGUAGACCGUUGCACCUUGCCAAAAUGGCAUUGGAGACUUUCAGCAGGUCGUUCGGACAUUUCCCUGACUCAAAGACCGUCUUGAAGAAUAGCUUCUCUGAAUCAUCCAUCUGUAACCGCUUCAUUUCAUAGACAGGAUCAUUGGGAGAGGUGCAGCAAUUUUUUGCCACCUCGUGACUGCGUGUAGUAAUUAAUAUGCUGCCCUCUUCACCAUUAUCAUGAGGAAAAGCUACCUUUAGCUGAUCCCAUGCAGCUGCUUGCCAGACGUCAUCCAGAACGAUCAGGUACCUAAAAAAAGACCCACAUUCUUAUGAGUAGACUAGUAACAAGAAUCGAGCAGGGACGGGGAUUCCAUGCUAGGACAUGCAUGUGGGAGUUGUGUACUGGCUUGUUACUUGAUAGUUGAUACUCCUACCUAGUUGCCUAUAAUCUCAUCUCGUAAUAAAUUUGAUAAUAAAUAAAUCUGUUCAUCCUAUUUUUGCUUUAUGUGUUCGCUUUACUGUUAAGUUCAUAGAUCUGUUGGUUCUGUGCCUAGCACACACACGUGGCACCCCUUCAAAAAUUCAAUUUUUUUUCUACUCCCUCCAUUCCAAUGAAUAAGGCUAGCACGCAUUUCAAAAUUAAACUUUGACCAUAAAUUGGACCAACCAAAUGUGAGUUAUAUGUGACAAAAGUUAUAUUGUUGAAUUUGUUCGAAACUGCAUGCAUUAUUGGCAUAAUUCUUGGUCAAAGUUCAAUUUUGAACUACGUGUGUGCCUUAUUCAUUGGAAUGGAGGGAGUAUAUAUAAUUAACACUAAUUAUCUAACAAGUUAAUGCUAUUUCAAAACUACUUGUUACACCGCUGCCUCCAGAUCUCGUCCUCAAAAUGUGGCAUGCUCGGUCAAGGCCUUGAGCUCAAGCAUGGUCAACGCCACUACCAGCCUUGGCUGAGAUGGGUAGGGCUGGUCGGCUGGACACGAGCAAAACCAAGCCAGUAUUUGGCUCGCUAUUGGCAAGCCAGCUCGGCUUGGCUCAGAAGCACCGGCGAGGCAACUAGAGGAGCUCGGAUCAGAGUCGGCAUAGGCUUGAGCCAACUCAGGCCAGCUCGCGAGCCUGGGGUGACAUGACGCCAUGUAGCCUUGGUGGGGCGACGUGGGAAGGAGAGAAUAGGAAGAUGGCUGAAGGAUCCNNNNNNNNNNNNNNNNNNNNNNNNNNNNNNNNNNNNNNNNNNNNNNNNNNNNNNNNNNNNNNNNNNNNNNNNNNNNNNNNNNNNNNNNNNNNNNNNNNNNNNNNNNNNNNNNNNNNNNNNNNNNNNNNNNNNNNNNNNNNNNNNNNNNNNNNNNNNNNNNNNNNNNNNNNNNNNNNNNNNNNNNNNNNNNNNNNNNNNNNNNNNNNNNNNNNNNNNNNNNNNNNNNNNNNNNNNNNNNNNNNNNNNNNNNNNNNNNNNNNNNNNNNNNNNNNNNNNNNNNNNNNNNNNNNNNNNNNNNNNNNNNNNNNNNNNNNNNNNNNNNNNNNNNNNNNNNNNNNNNNNNNNNNNNNNNNNNNNNNNNNNGUGCUUGUCUCCUCUCCCAAAUCAACAGAAGCUCUCGUUCUUUGCCGGUUCCCUGCGCCAGCUGCCAAUGGCCAUGUGCAACAGCCUUCAUCCAAUCUGCAUGCCACCGGCCACCGUUGGCUGCCUUUGUUGCCGGUCAGUCGAUGAGCUACGUGGUCAACUACUGGAGGAAGGAUCAAAGGAUUGAAGAAGCAAUGUAAAAUUCAGUUAAAACAAAUUGAUUGGUGAUGUUCUGAUGAUGGUUAUUCUUCUGGUUUGAAAUUAUCAAGUCAAGGCUCAAAAUAGAAUAGAAGAUAGAUUUAUUGCGGAUAGCUUGCCGCUACAAGUAGAACGAGAGAUUGUAGCAACAAUAAGUUAUGAUAACAUAACCAUUGAUUCCAAAGCUAUGAAAUCCUAAAGAGCAUACUUGUAGUUACUGGCCAUAUUAAUCGUCUUUUCUUAAGUCUAUUGUAUUCUACUGUUGUGGCUGUGGAGCUGCAUACUGUUGCCAAUGCGUGCGGGUUGGAGGCAGGCCGGCAACAGUCGUUGGACAGGCCCAAUGCGUGCGUACUGCGUAGUAGGCGGUCAUCCAAGGAAUAGAUACAUAUGGGCUAGUUCGGCGGGACCUCCCGUGUGUAAACCAUAGAAUACUGAGCAAUCGCGUACCGGAGUACAGCGUAGUGGGCCAGCCCAUUCGGUAGGUUUGUAUUAAUUUGAGAAGAGGAGGCUGGCCGGACCGGUUUAGAGUUAUGGAAUUUCAAAAAAUGUUAUGUAAUUUAAAAAUGGUUCAAGAAUUUUAAAAUUUGCCAAAUUUGAAAAAAAUCAUGAGUUUAGAAAAAUUUCCCCAAAUUUCAAUAAAAUACAAAUUUAAUAUAUAUAUAUAUAUAGAGAGAGAGAGAGAGAGAGAAAUGUUCCUGAAUUUAAAAAUGUUCACAAAUUAAAAAAAUGUACCCGGAUUUCAAAAAAUGUUCAAGAAUAUUUUUUAAAUUGAAAACCAGAAAAUGGAAUAGCCAAAGAAAUAAACAGAUAAAACGCAGAAAAAGGAAGAAAAACACGGUCCGGGGUUCUAAAGAACCUGCCCUACACCUGUGGGGAGGACAAAGAAAAAAGCCUCAAUGGGCCGGCCCAUAUAGCCAUGUGAGCAUGCAAGGGGGUGCGCCUCCUGCCGGCUUACGGAAGGAAUAGGACAGCCUUAGUUCGGUUGUCGUUCUUAUUCCCCUCCCCCUCUGUCUGUCGUCUUAGAUAGGUUAGAUCAGGCCACAAACUGCUGGGCAGGAUCAAGCCCAGGCUAGGCAUGAAGCACAAACAAGCGUACCAUGCCAACUCGGCUCGGCCUAUUUUCUUCUUGGGGCCGAGCUACAGAGAGCUCCAAGCCGAGCCUAAAAGCUCCCUCCGCCCCUUCGUUGAAAUGGAGGAACAAGAUGAUGAAGAGAGAGAGAGAGAGAGCGAGAUGGGAAAUAUGGUCGCUUUCUCAUUCACUUAACACUAGAGCUGGCAGAAAACAAAACGGAGGUGCAAAUAUGAAAUAUGUAAAUAAUGCUAAUGGAGCUUCAACUUUUGCGAACUGAAAUAAAGCAAGUAGAUUCUUGUAAUUGGCACCGCGGACAGGUGGAAAAUUGUAAUCUCCAUAUUUUAUAUAAACUUGGUCAGACUGAAAGAAGUUUCGCUUGAAGACAAAACUAUAACAUCUUUGGAUUUUUCAAACAGAGGGGGUAUGGCAUAAGAGGAAACUAAUUAAACGAGAGAAUAGUAAUAAAAGUGCUUAAUUAUGUACCUCUUACGCUUCAAACAUUGUUUGAUCUUGUCAACCAAGUCGCUUAUGGUCCAUUUUUUAAUGUUCCGGAGGGGAUCGUCAUCUUUAUCACUGUCGGCCAAAGUCGAAAGCUGCUUCAGCACGGACUCGAGAAGAGAACGGAAAUCAUAUGUCUGGGACACCGGAAUGAAAGCGCGGCACUGGAUGCCACCCAACUUUGGAGUGCUGUAGAUGGUCGUGGCGAGGGUGGUCUUGCCGAGGCCACCGAAACCCACUAUGGACAGCACUCGGGGACCUGCCGCCGCCUGGCGUUUCUCACUGAGCAGCCUCACCACGGCAUGAGUCAUGUUGCCCAUCCCGACUAGCCCAGACCCGUCACCAUGGAUUGCUGGCAGCCAGCGGUCCAGAUUGUCAUGGUGGCUGUACGAAGAAGAAUCAAGCGCUUUGCUUGACCGUCCUGCCGACUCGCCUAGAUCAUACCUGCGCCUCCUUUCGCUCACUUUCUGGGCACGAGAUUUGAGGCCCUGGAUAUCGGUGGCCACUGUGUGCCGCACCCUCAAUGUCCGCACCAUGUUGAACAUCCUAUGGAGGUAUUCCAGGAGUCCUUUACGGUCUCCAUGGUGCUCGCUGAGGUGAUGGCAGAACCUGUCCAUACAGUCCUCCACAUCGAACGCGACUUCCCUCACUUGUUUCAUCCAAGUCCUAGUCUGCACGUAUAUGAAUGAGCACAUCAGUUAAUCAUGCCAGGGUUUUGUCUCAUCUCAUUACAAGAGGCAUGAUUUCCUUGCUAUCAAAAGGUUCAGUUCAAAAGGAUCCAUCUACUAGCAUUUGCAUUACUUGUUCGUUGUGAUCAUCGCCAUCCGCGAGCUCGAGGAGGCAGGCGGUCAUGCUCUCGAGCUCGUCCUUGAGCUCCUGGAUCUCCCCGCGAACACCACUGAGAAGCGUGUAUUUGGUGGCGAGGACGUUGCCGAGCUUCCCCAAUAGUAUCUGCACGGCGCCAUGGGAGGCGCUCACCACGGCCUCCAUCACAGUCGCUCGAUCUGCCAUGUUAAUUUUCGUUGGCAUCUCUUAGUACGAAAACACUUAAGCACAUCAGCCACAACUUGAUUUCGUGUAAGUAUGCAAGACAUUACCUUUGGUUUGUGCCACACACGUUCAGACUUGAAACGUCUGGAUCUGGUCCAUCUUUGGUAGCGUCUACAUCGUUCUAAAGUCAACUCUGUUUAGCAAGGCACACCCACUCAACAGACCACCAGUUCCUGGAUGCCCACAAGCCGACUAGCCCAUCGCUAAGAGAGGCGAAAAUUAAAGCUUUUUAAUAACCAUCCGUGAACAAGCUAUUGAGACAUUAAAACUAGCUCAAAAGAUUUAUCUGCUGCGAUGUGAGGUAAAUAAGAACUGUAGUUGGCUCGACCAAUCUGCAGGACAGGACAGGAGAGCGACGCACCACGGAUCGAGAUCCCCCGGCCAACAAUGCACCCAAGAUUUCAGCAACCAAAUGCAAGCUAUCUCGAUCUCAACCCUGGACCAACAACAAUAGACCAAGAACUCACUCAGACCAGAAAAGGCAUAAUAUUCAAUUCAAAAGCUCAACCCAAGGGAGAGAAAAAAGAACAAACCUUCACAGAAAUCAACAACCACCUCUUGUUCAACCGCAUUGAAGAACGGAGUCGCCAGAGCCCAGAGAUACCACACCAAGAAAGGAGAUCAGAGAUUAGCUGGUCCAGAUGGGCAGGGGGCAACCAAGUAAGGCUGAGGAGCGUGGUUAGGAGGCAAGUUGUGUUUGUUGAUUGGUUGAAUUGGUUACAUUUAGUAAACAAUAUGACGCUACACUGAAGCAUUAGUCAUUUGUUUUCUUAUUAUUAGGUCUUGGUCUCUAAUUAAAUUGUUUCCUCAGAAUAGGUGCCCACUUAUGGUGCGUCCUUCACGUUAGAGUUAUAAUAUAGGUCAUGUACCCCUUUGUAUUUAUCCCGUUGUAUAAGGGGUUUUCUGCAUAUGUUCCACACCUGUACAUGUAUAUAUAUAUCGGCCUAUGGCCUCAUGGUAAUACAAGUUGCUUAUUCCUAACAUGGUAUUAGAGCCCUAGGGUUUCUUUUCGCACGCCGCAACUCGUGCUCGAUCCCGUCGUGACGGCCGCCGCUGCUCCAAUCCGCUGCCCCGGCCUGAAGCGCUGCUCCUUCUGGACGCUCAACACGCGGUUGGCGCUGCUCCGGUCUCACGCCUGCUCGUCGCUCAACACGCGCCGGGCGCUGCUCGUGGACUCCCACCUCCCCCGACCGAUGCGCACCACCCGCCCCAGAUCGACUCGCUGCCCACCCCGCCCCAACUGAUGCCGCCGCCACCGGGCCGCUCGCACUCCGCCCCAACUGACGCCGCCGCCACCGGGCCGCUCGCACUCCGCCCCAACCUGCCCCGCCGCAACCGGCGCCGUCGCCCCCGCAGUGCCCCUACCGGCGCCGUCGAGACAGCCGCCAGCGCCGGUCUCCCGCGUGCUCGUGGUCUUCUGCCUGUCGUCCGGUGCUCGUGGUCUUGCGCCUGUCGUCCGGUGCUCUGCUGAUUUCGGGUCUCUCCUAAAAAAAAUGUCUGCUGCAUCGGGCUAUGUUGUUGUCCCUCGCUGUCCGGUGAUCUUCGAUGGUACUAACUACACCGAGUUCGCUGGCUUCAUGCGCAUUCACAUGCGUGGCAUCCGUCUCUGGGGUGUUCUUUCUGGCGAGGUCUGCUGUCCGCCACGUCCGGUUCCUCCGGUGGCCCCUACUCCGCCGACUCCACUGGUUCUUCCUACGGAUGCUAAUCAGGCCGCCAAGGAUGCGGCUAAGAUUGCUGAUGAGGCUGCUGAUCGUGCCUAUGAUGAGAGGGUUUUGGCUUAUGAGGAGGCUCUUCAGACGUAUCAUGGUGCUUUGUCUGUUUACACCCAGUGGCUUGAUGAUGAUGCUCGUGUUGCAGCUGUUCUCACUGCUAGUGUUUUGCCUCAGUUUGCUUCUGAGUUUCUGGGUCUUCCUAUUGUCUUCCAGAUGUGGACCUGUCUUCGUCAGCGCUAUGAGCCCUCUGGUGAUGCCUUAUACCUUUCUGUGGUUCGUCAGGAGCAUGCUCUUCAGCAGGGUGACUCUACUGUUGAUGACUUUUAUGCACAGAGUUCUGCUAUCUGGCGCCAGCUUGAUUCUCUCCGUAGUGCUGGUUGCCGUACUUGCCCCUGCUGCUAGGCUGUCCAGGCCGAUUUGGAGUUUCAUCGCGUCUACGAGUUCCUGUCUCGGCUCCGUAAGGAGUUUGAGCCCCGGCGUGCUCAGUUGUUUGCUCGUGGCCGUAUUUCUCUCAUGGAGGCGCUUUCAGAGAUUCGUGCUGAGGAGACUCGCCUACGUGGUGCUGGUUUGCUGGAGGUUCCCUCUGUGCUUGCUACUCGGGCUUCUUCCACUCCACCCGCUGCACCGCCCCAUUCUCGCUCGAGUGCUCCGCCACUCUUGCCCACUCCUUCUGGAGGCUCAAGACGCCCUCGUCCACACUGUGACUACUGCAACAAUGAUGGUCAUAUUGAGUCCCAGUGCUACACAAAGCGGAAACACCUGCGCAAGGCGCGCUCAUCCUCCUCAGGGACUUCGUCAUCUCCCUCGCCAGCUUCAGCCAUUGCUUUGACUGAGCAGGAUAUUCUGAGACUUAAGCGUCUGCUCGCGGCUUCAGGUUCUUCCUCGACGGGUACUGUUGGUUCUGUGACUGAUGCUUCCCGCACUGAGCACCUGCCCUCUACACAGUCAGGUACAUCCCCAUGGGUUCUGGACUCUGGAGCUUCUUUUCAUAUGUCUUCUCAUUCUUCCGCUUUGUCCUCUCUUCGAUCGCUGGAUUCUCCUGUUCAUGUCUUCACUGCUGAUGGUGCUCCACUUUCUGUUGCUAGUAGAGGCCAUCUUUCCACUCCUUAUUCUGUUCCUGAUGUUGCUCAUGUUCCUCGACUUACCAUGAAUCUGUUUUCUGCUGGUCAACUUACUGAUUCUGGUUGUCGUGUCAUCCUUGAUGUUGACUCUUGUUCUGUCCAGGAUCGUCGCACGCACACUCUGGUUGGGGCUGGCCCUCGCCGCCGUGAUUCUCAGGGUCUUUGGGAGUUGGACUGGCUUCAUGUUCCUUCCGCUGCCACCACCAUCGCCAGUCCCUCCGCUGCUGUCGCCUCUGUUACUGGUUCCUUCCAGCAGUGGCAUCAUCGACUUGGUCAUCUGUGUGGUUCUCGGUUAUCGUCUUUAGUUCGUCGAGGUCUUCUGGGGUCUGUCUCAGGAGAUGUCUCUUUAAAGUGUCAGGGUUGUCGUCUUGGCAAGCAGAUCCAGUUACCAUAUUCACAUAGUGAAUCAGUGUCUAAGCGUCCUUUCGAUUUAGUCCAUUCUGAUGUAUGGGGUCCGGCUCCUUUCGCUUCGAAAGGUGGUCAUAAAUACUAUAUUAUUUUCAUCGAUAAUUUUUCUCGUUACACAUGGCUUUAUUUCAUGACUUCACGUAGUGAGGUGUUGCCUAUUUAUAAGCGUUUUUCUGCCAUGGUUCAUACUCAGUUCUCUUCACCCAUUCGUGUUUUCCGUGCUGACUCCGCUGGUGAGUAUCUCUCUAAGAUGUUGCGUGGUGUUCUUGCUGAGCAGGGUACUCUUGCCCAGUUCUCUUGUCCUGGUGCUCAUGCUCAGAAUGGCGUGUCUGAGCGCAAGCAUCGUCACCUUCUUGAGACGGCUCGUGCUAUGAUGAUCGCCGCCUCUCUUCCGCCUCAUUUUUGGGCCGAGGCUAUCUCCACUUCCGCCUCUCUCAUCAACCUUCAGCCGUCCGCUGCUUUACAGGGUGGUGUUCCUUUUGAGCGUCUUUUUGAUCGGUCUCCCGAUUAUUCGAUGCUUCGCUUGUUUGGUUGUGUUUGCUAUGUUCUUUUUGCCCCUCGCGAACGCACCAAACUGACCGCUCAGUCUGUUGAGUGUGCCUUCUUAGGCUACAGUGAUGAGCAUAAGGGCUAUCGUUGUUGGGAUCCUAUCGGUCGUCGGAUGCGUAUCUCUCGAGACGUGACUUUUGAUGAGUCUCGUCCUUUCUACCCACGCCCAUCUUCCUCGUCUUUUUCCGUGGAGGAUAUCUCUUUCCUCACUUUUCCUGACUCACCUAUCACCCCCGUCGCGCCUGUGCCUAUUCGUUCCACUCCCUCUGCUUCUCCACCCCUCGUCGAUUCGUCGCCACCAUCUUCCCCGGUCUCCUCCCCUAGCAUGUCACUGGGUUCUACACCUUCAUCUCCGGUGACUUCUUCGUCGCCACCCCCCGAUUCUACCUUGGCGAUUCCUCCUUCUCUUAUUCCAUCUUUGCCUCAGCAUUACACUCGUCGUUCACGACCUGUGGAUGCUUCCUUGGAUGAGUCAUCCUCUUCCUCUCAGCCUACUUAUGGCUUGCGUUCUCGUCCUCGUCCGCCUAUUGAUCGCUUUGGAUUUCCCACCGCUGGUGCUGCUGUUCUUGAGCCGACUUCUUACCGUCAGGCUGUUGUUCAUCCUAAAUGGCAGUUUGCGAUGGCAGAGGAGAUUGCUGCUCUUGAACGCACUGGUACCUGGGAUCUUGUUUCUCUUCCUCCCGGAGUCCGUCCCAUCACUUGUAAGUGGGUCUACAAGGUUAAGACUCGCUCUGAUGGUUCUCUUGAGCGUCACAAAGCUCGUCUCGUGGCUCGUGGUUUUCAGCAGGAGCAUGGUCGUGAUUAUGACGAGACUUUUGCUCCUGUGGCCCAUAUGACCACUAUCCGUACACUUCUUGCUGUUGCCUCUGCACGCCACUGGUCUAUAUCUCAGCUUGAUGUUAAGAAUGCCUUUCUUAAUGGUGAGCUGCGUGAGGAGGUGUACAUGCAGCCACCACCUGGGUAUUCUGUUCCUGAUGGCAUGGUGUGUCGUCUUCGUCGCUCUCUCUAUGGCCUUAAGCAAGCCCCUCACGCCUGUUUUGAGCGUUUUGCCUCUGUGGUCCCUACUGCUGGUUUUUCAGCAAGUGCUCAUGAUCCAGCAUUAUUUAUUCACCUUUCUCCUCGUGGCCGGACUCUUCUUCUUCUCUAUGUUGAUGAUAUGGUCAUCACUGGGGAUGACCCUGAGUAUAUUGCCUUUGUAAAGGCCCGUCUUAGUGAGCAGUUUCUUAUGUCUGAUCUUGGACCUCUUCGCUACUUUCUUGGGAUUGAAGUCUCUUCUAUCUCUGAUGGCUUUUUUAUAUCCCAGGAAAAGUAUAUCCAGGAUCUUCUUGCUCGUGCUGCUCUUACCGACGAGCGCAUUGUUGAGACUCCUAUGGAGCUCAGUGUUCACCUCCGUGCUACUGAUGGUGAUCCUCUCCCUGACCCGACGCGUUAUCGUCAUCUUGUUGGCAGUCUUGUUUAUCUCGCUGUCACUCGUCCGGACAUCUCUUAUCCGGUUCAUAUUCUGAGUCAGUUUGUCUCUGCUCCCACAUCGGUUCACUAUAGUCAUCUCCUUCGUGUUCUCCGAUAUCUUCGGGGCACGAUCUCUCACCGUCUAUUCUUUCCUAGCUCCAGUUCUUUACAGCUUCAGGCCUAUGCGGAUGCUACGUGGGCUAGUGAUCCUUCUGAUCGCCGUUCACUUUCUGCUUACUGUGUUUUUCUUGGCGGUUCUCUCAUUGCCUGGAAGACGAAGAAACAGAUUGCAGUUUCCUGUUCGAGUGCGGAGGCUGAGUUGCGAGCCAUGGCUCUUUUGACGGCAGAGGUGAUUUGGUUACGGUGGUUACUUCAGGAUUUUGGUGUUUCUGUCACUACACCGACUCUGCUCUUAUCUGACAGUACAGGUGCUAUUAGCAUUGCGCGCGAUCCUGUGAAGCAUGAGCUCACCAAGCAUAUUGGUGUUGAUGCUUUCUAUGUGCGCGCUGCUGUGCAGGAUCAGGUUAUUGCUCUUCAGUAUGUGCCUUCCGAGUUACAGUUGGCGGAUUUCCUGACAAAGGCCCAGACUAGAGCACAACAUGGCUUUUAUCUCUCCAAACUCAGUGUUGUUCCUCCACCAUGAGUUUGAGGGGGGGUGUUAGAGUUAUAAUAUAGGUCAUGUACCCCUUUGUAUUUAUCCCAUUGUAUAAGGGGUUUUCUGCAUAUGUUCCACACCUGUACAUGUAUAUAUAUAUAUCGGCCUAUGGCCUCAUGGUAAUACAAGUUGCUUAUUCCUAACACUUCAUACUUAUCUGUCCUCUUAUGGGUGGUUGGUUACCUAAAAUAACACUCUCUUGGGUUGACCUGCAGGUGUUGAACCAAUCAGCAGAAGAUCAACUAAUCACCCAGUUCAGCAUUGAUGAUUGUUUCCUACAGGAGUGGGAUUGGAUGUUAAGGGAAUAAUUGAGACAGCGAUAGUUGAACAACAUCAGGCAGACGCGUACGCGUGGUCGUGUAAGGAUAAUUACAGUGAUAAUUACAGCAGCAGCAGAUUAGUACGUCUUCAUCCUCGUGUUGUUUCAUGUCGAAGUAGCUAGCAUCUGAACAAUCUGGGAGGCAGCUCUUGUUCAGUUGAACCCACGUUUUCUGCCUCUCAGACUGUUUUGAACCCUGCAUAUCAAUGCCAGGCUGCUUUGAACCCUAUCUCAGGCUAGCUACUCCACAUGAAACAACAAAAGGAACAACAAAAGCAUCCUUGGCAUUGUGGAGGGGAUUAUGUUUCUCCUUUUUGCUUCGAGAGAUGUUAAUGUAUACAUAAAGAGAAGAAUUUGCUGGAGAACUGGAGACUAGUGGCGCUCAUAGUUGGUAGCCAGGAGCAUGAUAUCAGAAACUCAAAUGUGUGGUAACAAUCUGUUGACCAUGUGUUUUAUAACUGCAUAACAAUCCAGUGUACAAAUCUGUACUUUGUUAACUGGCCAACACAUUACACCAAACUUGAAUUUGUUUGCCACAACACAGGUAGAUCACAGAGCAAAGGUUGGGCUCCAGCGCACCACAGUACUUCUAACAAGGAACCAAAUGCAUGCCAGCCAAAGUGUAACUUGAGUUUCCAAAACUAACAAAAGGCAACUCAAUUGCAGUCACGAGUCAUUUCAGUGCAUGCUUCUUAUCUGAUUUUUAGAACAUUUUAUUCCACAUUUCGUGUUAGACAGAAAAUUCAUCAACAAAAUAGGAGUGAAGGCAACUAAGAGAAUCCAGCAUUAUGAAAACCUUCGAGCCUGAAAAGUUCAAUUGACACUGACAGUCCCGCAAUGCUCGCAGCACUCAGCCAUGGUAAUCAUAUGGUUCAUACAUUCAGCAGUACCU